AUCUUCGGCAACAUAUGAGCCAGUGUAAAGGAGCUAUUUUGAAAAAUGGCAAGAUUCACAAAGUUCAGGCACGACAGGUGCUCUACUCAAGACAUGUUGACACAAGGCUGCUGGAAAUGGUGAAUUAAACUGUACGUCCGUGUUUUAGGAGUCUUCUGAAAUGCUGUGCCUCUCAGAUCCACAGAGGCAUGAUCACAGUAGAAAUGGGAGGUGGAGGGCUUGCAUAUGAAGGCUUGUUUCACAGACCUCACUACCUCUUUGGAGGAAAUAUGUGACAAUCCAGAUGCACAUAACAAAUUGCUUUGGAGAGAAUUCUGAGAACGGCACAUUCAUGUUUUUCAUGUUUGUCACUGACUUAAUAAGAUUAAUGAAAUGUCAUUUUCAUA
Oxyura jamaicensis (ruddy duck) is the source of this 386-nucleotide long non-coding RNA. RefSeq lists it as uncharacterized. The record is from RefSeq and is a predicted model, not a curated record. The transcript is spliced from 2 exons. Lineage: Eukaryota; Metazoa; Chordata; Aves; Anseriformes; Anatidae.